CAGCAGCCGCGGUAAUACGUAGGGGGCGAGCGUUGUCCGGAAUCAUUGGGCGUAAAGCGCGUGUAGGCGGCUUGGCAAGUCUGGUGUGAAAGCUCGAGGCUCAACCUCGAGUCUGCACCGGAAACUGCCUUGCUAGAGUCCGGAAGAGGAGACUGGAAUUCCUGGUGUAGCGGUGAAAUGCGCAGAUAUCAGGAAGAACACCGGUGGCGAAGGCGGGUCUCUGGGACGGUACUGACGCUGAGACGCGAAAGCGUGGGGAGCAAACAGGAUUAGAUACCCUGGUAGUCCACGCCGUAAACGAUGGGCACUAGGUGUGGGAGGUGUCGACUCCUUCCGUGCCGAAGCUAACGCAUUAAGUGCCCCGCCUGGGGAGUACGGCCGCAAGGCUAAAACUCAAAGGAAUUGACGGGGCCCCGCACAAGCAGCGGAGCAUGUGGUUCAAUUCGACGCAACGCGAAGAACCUUACCUGGGCUUGACAUGUUCUCGUAACUCCUGGAAACAGGAGCCCUCUUCGGAGCGGGAUCACAGGAGGUGCAUGGCC
RNAcentral lists this ribosomal RNA (542 nucleotides) under uncultured archaeon. Its description in RNAcentral is "bacterial SSU rRNA". It matches the Rfam family "Bacterial small subunit ribosomal RNA", at positions 509 to 1050 of the family's 1533-position model. The record is from RNAcentral.